AGAGUUUGAUUCUGGCUCAGAUUGAACGCUGGCGGCAGGCCUAACACAUGCAAGUCGAACGGUAACAGGAAGAAGCUUGCUUCUUUGCUGACGAGUGGCGGACGGGUGAGUAAUGUCUGGGAAACUGCCUGAUGGAGGGGGAUAACUACUGGAAACGGUAGCUAAUACCGCAUAACGUCGCAAGACCAAAGAGGGGGACCUUCGGGCCUCUUGCCAUCGGAUGUGCCCAGAUGGGAUUAGCUUGUUGGUGGGGUAACGGCUCACCAAGGCGACGAUCCCUAGCUGGUCUGAGAGGAUGACCAGCCACACUGGAACUGAGACACGGUCCAGACUCCUACGGGAGGCAGCAGUGGGGAAUAUUGCACAAUGGGCGCAAGCCUGAUGCAGCUAUGCCGCGUGUAUGAAGAAGGCCUUCGGGUUGUAAAGUACUUUCAGCGGGGAGGAAGGGAGUAAAGUUAAUACCUUUGCUCAUUGACGUUACCCGCAGAAGAAGCACCGGCUAACUCCGUGCCAGCAGCCGCGGUAAUACGGAGGGUGCAAGCGUUAAUCGGAAUUACUGGGCGUAAAGCGCACGCAGGCGGUUUGUUAAGUCAGAUGUGAAAUCCCCGGGCUCAACCUGGGAACUGCAUCUGAUACUGGCAAGCUUGAGUCUCGUAGAGGGGGGUAGAAUUCCAGGUGUAGCGGUGAAAUGCGUAGAGAUCUGGAGGAAUACCGGUGGCGAAGGCGGCCCCCUGGACGAAGACUGACGCUCAGGUGCGAAAGCGUGGGGAGCAAACAGGAUUAGAUACCCUGGUAGUCCACGCCGUAAACGAUGUCGACUUGGAGGUUGUGCCCUUGAGGCGUGGCUUCCGGAGCUAACGCGUUAAGUCGACCGCCUGGGGAGUACGGCCGCAAGGUUAAAACUCAAAUGAAUUGACGGGGGCCCGCACAAGCGGUGGAGCAUGUGGUUUAAUUCGAUGCAACGCGAAGAACCUUACCUGGUCUUGACAUCCACGGAAGUUUUCAGAGAUGAGAAUGUGCCUUCGGGAACCGUGAGACAGGUGCUGCAUGGCUGUCGUCAGCUCGUGUUGUGAAAUGUUGGGUUAAGUCCCGCAACGAGCGCAACCCUUAUCCUUUGUUGCCAGCGGUCCGGCCGGGAACUCAAAGGAGACUGCCAGUGAUAAACUGGAGGAAGGUGGGGAUGACGUCAAGUCAUCAUGGCCCUUACGACCAGGGCUACACACGUGCUACAAUGGCGCAUACAAAGAGAAGCGACCUCGCGAGAGCAAGCGGACCUCAUAAAGUGCGUCGUAGUCCGGAUUGGAGUCUGCAACUCGACUCCAUGAAGUCGGAAUCGCUAGUAAUCGUGGAUCAGAAUGCCACGGUGAAUACGUUCCCGGGCCUUGUACACACCGCCCGUCA
This 1401-nucleotide ribosomal RNA is filed under the name uncultured bacterium. Its description in RNAcentral is "bacterial SSU rRNA". It matches the Rfam family "Bacterial small subunit ribosomal RNA". The record is from RNAcentral.